GACGAACGCUGGCGGCGUGCUUAACACAUGCAAGUCGAACGGAAAGGCCCUGCUUUUGUGGGGUGCUCGAGUGGCGAACGGGUGAGUAACACGGGAGUAACCUGCCCUUGACUUUGGGAUAACUUCAGGAAACUGGGGCUAAUACCGGAUAGGAGCUCCUGCUGCAUGGUGGGGUUUGGAAAGUUUCGGCGGUUGGGGAUGGACUCGCGGCUUAUCAGCUUGUUGGUGGGGUAGUGGCUUACCAAGGCUUUGACGGGUAGCCGGCCUGAGAGGGUGACCGGCCACAUUGGGACUGAGAUACGGCCCAGACUCCUACGGGAGGCAGCAGUGGGGAAUAUUGCACAAUGGGCGGAAGCCUGAUGCAGCAACGCCGCGUGCGGGAUGACGGCCUUCGGGUUGUAAACCGCUUUCGCCUGUGACGAAGCGUGAGUGACGGUAAUGGGUAAAGAAGCACCGGCUAACUACGUG
RNAcentral lists this ribosomal RNA (468 nucleotides) under uncultured bacterium. Its description in RNAcentral is "partial 16S ribosomal RNA". It matches the Rfam family "Bacterial small subunit ribosomal RNA", at positions 28 to 507 of the family's 1533-position model. The record is from RNAcentral.